CAAUAGCGUAUAUUAAAGUUGCUGCAGUUAAAAAGCUCGUAGUUGGAUUUCUGGUUGAAGCGACCGGUCGGGCGUUGAUUCGUCUGCACUGGAGUCGGUUUUGGCCAUCCUCUAGGAAAGUGCGUCUGGUAUUAAGUUAUCGGGCGUAUGAUCCUGGUCUUUUACUGUGAAAAAAUUAGAGUGUUUAAAGCAGGCCUUCGCCUUGAAUACAUUAGCAUGGAAUAAUAAGAUAGGACUUUGGUCUAUUUUGUUGGUUUGCAGACCGAAGUAAUGAUUAAUAGGGAUAGUUGGGGGUAUUUAUAUUCCGAUGUCAGAGGUGAAAUUCUUAGAUUUUCGGAAGAUAAACUUAUGCGAAAGCAUUUACCAAGGAUGUUUUCAUUAA
RNAcentral lists this ribosomal RNA (382 nucleotides) under uncultured eukaryote. RNAcentral describes it as "partial 18S ribosomal RNA". It matches the Rfam family "Eukaryotic small subunit ribosomal RNA", at positions 592 to 976 of the family's 1831-position model. The record is from RNAcentral.